Molecule: ribosomal RNA, 2931 nt
Filed under: Escherichia coli
Lineage: Bacteria; Pseudomonadati; Pseudomonadota; Gammaproteobacteria; Enterobacterales; Enterobacteriaceae
Description: bacterial LSU rRNA
Rfam family: Bacterial large subunit ribosomal RNA
Source: RNAcentral
GGGUUGUGAGGUUAAGCGACUAAGCGUACACGGUGGAUGCCCUGGCAGUCAGAGGCGAUGAAGGACGUGCUAAUCUGCGAUAAGCGUCGGUAAGGUGAUAUGAACCGUUAUAACCGGCGAUUUCCGAAUGGGGAAACCCAGUGUGAUUCGUCACACUAUCAUUAACUGAAUCCAUAGGUUAAUGAGGCGAACCGGGGGAACUGAAACAUCUAAGUACCCCGAGGAAAAGAAAUCAACCGAGAUUCCCCCAGUAGCGGCGAGCGAACGGGGAGCAGCCCAGAGCCUGAAUCAGUGUGUGUGUUAGUGGAAGCGUCUGGAAAGGCGCGCGAUACAGGGUGACAGCCCCGUACACAAAAAUGCACAUGCUGUGAGCUCGAUGAGUAGGGCGGGACACGUGGUAUCCUGUCUGAAUAUGGGGGGACCAUCCUCCAAGGCUAAAUACUCCUGACUGACCGAUAGUGAACCAGUACCGUGAGGGAAAGGCGAAAAGAACCCCGGCGAGGGGAGUGAAAAAGAACCUGAAACCGUGUACGUACAAGCAGUGGGAGCACUCUUAAUGGGGUGACUGCGUACCUUUUGUAUAAUGGGUCAGCGACUUAUAUUCUGUAGCAAGGUUAACCGAAUAGGGGAGCCGAAGGGAAACCGAGUCUUAACUGGGCGUUAAGUUGCAGGGUAUAGACCCGAAACCCGGUGAUCUAGCCAUGGGCAGGUUGAAGGUUGGGUAACACUAACUGGAGGACCGAACCGACUAAUGUUGAAAAAUUAGCGGAUGACUUGUGGCUGGGGGUGAAAGGCCAAUCAAACCGGGAGAUAGCUGGUUCUCCCCGAAAGCUAUUUAGGUAGCGCCUCGUGAAUUCAUCUCCGGGGGUAGAGCACUGUUUCGGCAAGGGGGUCAUCCCGACUUACCAACCCGAUGCAAACUGCGAAUACCGGAGAAUGUUAUCACGGGAGACACACGGCGGGUGCUAACGUCCGUCGUGAAGAGGGAAACAACCCAGACCGCCAGCUAAGGUCCCAAAGUCAUGGUUAAGUGGGAAACGAUGUGGGAAGGCCCAGACAGCCAGGAUGUUGGCUUAGAAGCAGCCAUCAUUUAAAGAAAGCGUAAUAGCUCACUGGUCGAGUCGGCCUGCGCGGAAGAUGUAACGGGGCUAAACCAUGCACCGAAGCUGCGGCAGCGACGCUUAUGCGUUGUUGGGUAGGGGAGCGUUCUGUAAGCCUGUGAAGGUGUGCUGUGAGGCAUGCUGGAGGUAUCAGAAGUGCGAAUGCUGACAUAAGUAACGAUAAAGCGGGUGAAAAGCCCGCUCGCCGGAAGACCAAGGGUUCCUGUCCAACGUUAAUCGGGGCAGGGUGAGUCGACCCCUAAGGCGAGGCCGAAAGGCGUAGUCGAUGGGAAACAGGUUAAUAUUCCUGUACUUGGUGUUACUGCGAAGGGGGGACGGAGAAGGCUAUGUUGGCCGGGCGACGGUUGUCCCGGUUUAAGCGUGUAGGCUGGUUUUCCAGGCAAAUCCGGAAAAUCAAGGCUGAGGCGUGAUGACGAGGCACUACGGUGCUGAAGCAACAAAUGCCCUGCUUCCAGGAAAAGCCUCUAAGCAUCAGGUAACAUCAAAUCGUACCCCAAACCGACACAGGUGGUCAGGUAGAGAAUACCAAGGCGCUUGAGAGAACUCGGGUGAAGGAACUAGGCAAAAUGGUGCCGUAACUUCGGGAGAAGGCACGCUGAUAUGUAGGUGAAGUCCCUCGCGGAUGGAGCUGAAAUCAGUCGAAGAUACCAGCUGGCUGCAACUGUUUAUUAAAAACACAGCACUGUGCAAACACGAAAGUGGACGUAUACGGUGUGACGCCUGCCCGGUGCCGGAAGGUUAAUUGAUGGGGUCAGCGCAAGCGAAGCUCUUGAUCGAAGCCCCGGUAAACGGCGGCCGUAACUAUAACGGUCCUAAGGUAGCGAAAUUCCUUGUCGGGUAAGUUCCGACCUGCACGAAUGGCGUAAUGAUGGCCAGGCUGUCUCCACCCGAGACUCAGUGAAAUUGAACUCGCUGUGAAGAUGCAGUGUACCCGCGGCAAGACGGAAAGACCCCGUGAACCUUUACUAUAGCUUGACACUGAACAUUGAGCCUUGAUGUGUAGGAUAGGUGGGAGGCUUAGAAGUGUGGACGCCAGUCUGCAUGGAGCCGACCUUGAAAUACCACCCUUUAAUGUUUGAUGUUCUAACGUUGACCCGUAAUCCGGGUUGCGGACAGUGUCUGGUGGGUAGUUUGACUGGGGCGGUCUCCUCCUAAAGAGUAACGGAGGAGCACGAAGGUUGGCUAAUCCUGGUCGGACAUCAGGAGGUUAGUGCAAUGGCAUAAGCCAGCUUGACUGCGAGCGUGACGGCGCGAGCAGGUGCGAAAGCAGGUCAUAGUGAUCCGGUGGUUCUGAAUGGAAGGGCCAUCGCUCAACGGAUAAAAGGUACUCCGGGGAUAACAGGCUGAUACCGCCCAAGAGUUCAUAUCGACGGCGGUGUUUGGCACCUCGAUGUCGGCUCAUCACAUCCUGGGGCUGAAGUAGGUCCCAAGGGUAUGGCUGUUCGCCAUUUAAAGUGGUACGCGAGCUGGGUUUAGAACGUCGUGAGACAGUUCGGUCCCUAUCUGCCGUGGGCGCUGGAGAACUGAGGGGGGCUGCUCCUAGUACGAGAGGACCGGAGUGGACGCAUCACUGGUGUUCGGGUUGUCAUGCCAAUGGCACUGCCCGGUAGCUAAAUGCGGAAGAGAUAAGUGCUGAAAGCAUCUAAGCACGAAACUUGCCCCGAGAUGAGUUCUCCCUGACUCCUUGAGAGUCCUGAAGGAACGUUGAAGACGACGACGUUGAUAGGCCGGGUGUGUAAGCGCAGCGAUGCGUUGAGCUAACCGGUACUAAUGAACCGUGAGGCUUAACCUUACAACGCCGAAGGUGUUU